RNAcentral lists this ribosomal RNA (449 nucleotides) under uncultured bacterium. RNAcentral describes it as "partial 16S ribosomal RNA". It matches the Rfam family "Bacterial small subunit ribosomal RNA", at positions 338 to 795 of the family's 1533-position model. The record is from RNAcentral.
CCUACGGGAGGCUGCAGUGGGGAAUAUUGGACAAUGGGCGCAAGCCUGAUCCAGCAAUACCGCGUGUGUGAAGAAGGCCUGAGGGUUGUAAAGCACUUUUAAUCGGGAGGAAUAGCGGUCGGUUAAUACCCGGUCGUCUGACAUUACCGAUAGAAAAAGCACCGGCUAACUCCGUGCCAGCAGCCGCGGUAAUACGGAGGGUGCAAGCGUGGAGCGGAGCGUGCGUGCGUGAAGCGUGCGUACACGGGUGAAAGCCCCGGGCUUAACCUGGGAACGGCAUUUGAAACUGAUCGACUAGAGUUGGGUAGAGGGGAGUGGAAUUUCAGGUGUAGCGGUGAAAUGCGUAGAUAUCUGAAGGAACACCAGUGGCGAAGGCGGCUCCCUGGACCCAAACUGACGCUGAGGCACGAAAGCGUGGGUAGCAAACAGGAUUAGAUACCCCAGUAGUC